CGUAAUUUUAUCGAUAAUAAUACUGGUAAUAUUGAUUUUCUAAAAUGGAAAAUGAAAUUCACCGUAUUAGUUUCGGAAAGAGGAAAUGAUUUAGUAAUAGUAAAUUGACACCAAUUUCGAUACAUCCGACAGCGGGCUGAUGGUUAUGUCAGAUGGAGGUGCUGUAAAAAAAAAACAGUGUACAGCUACACUAAUAAUAAUGGCGGACAAAUCAAAUUAUAGAAAAUACGAGUGAGCAU
This is a non-coding RNA of Cinara cedri, 239 nucleotides long. Lineage: Eukaryota; Metazoa; Arthropoda; Insecta; Hemiptera; Aphididae. The record is from the annotation of a GenBank genome assembly.